CCUGCCCCGCCUUCGGGAGGCAGCAGUAGGGAAUCUUCGGCAAUGGACGAAAGUCUGACCGAGCAACGCCGCGUGAGUGAAGAAGGUUUUCGGAUCGUAAAACUCUGUUGUUAGAGAAGAACAAGGAUGAGAGUAACUGUUCAUCCCUUGACGGUAUCUAACCAGAAAGCCACGGCUAACUACGUGCCAGCAGCCGCGGUAAUACGUAGGUGGCAAGCGUUGUCCGGAUUUAUUGGGCGUAAAGCGAGCGCAGGCGGUUUCUUAAGUCUGAUGUGAAAGCCCCCGGCUCAACCGGGGAGGGUCAUUGGAAACUGGGAGACUUGAGUGCAGAAGAGGAGAGUGGAAUUCCAUGUGUAGCGGUGAAAUGCGUAGAUAUAUGGAGGAACACCAGUGGCGAAGGCGGCUCUCUGGUCUGUAACUGACGCUGAGGCUCGAAAGCGUGGGGAGCAAACAGGAUUAGAUACCCUGGUAGUCCACGCCGUAAACGAUGAGUGCUAAGUGUUGGAGGGUUUCCGCCCUUCAGUGCUGCAGCUAACGCA
RNAcentral lists this ribosomal RNA (539 nucleotides) under uncultured Enterococcus sp. Its description in RNAcentral is "bacterial SSU rRNA". It matches the Rfam family "Bacterial small subunit ribosomal RNA", at positions 326 to 859 of the family's 1533-position model. Lineage: Bacteria; Bacillati; Bacillota; Bacilli; Lactobacillales; Enterococcaceae. The record is from RNAcentral.